This 894-nucleotide ribosomal RNA is filed under the name uncultured archaeon. Its description in RNAcentral is "bacterial SSU rRNA". It matches the Rfam family "Archaeal small subunit ribosomal RNA", at positions 23 to 923 of the family's 1478-position model. The record is from RNAcentral.
CUGACUGCUAUCGGAUUGAUACUAAGCCAUGCGAGUCAUUGUAGUAAUACAAGGCAGACGGCUCAGUAACGCGUAGUCAACCUAACCUAUGGACGGGAAUAACCUCGGGAAACUGAGUAUAAUGCCCGAUAGAACAUUAUGCCUGGAAUGGUUUAUGUUCCAAAUGAUUUAUCGCCGUAGGAUGGGACUGCGGCCUAUCAGUUUGUUGGUGAGGUAAUGGCCCACCAAGACUAUUACAGGUACGGGCUCUGAGAGGAGUAGCCCGGAGAUGGGUACUGAGACACGGACCCAGGCCCUAUGGGGCGCAGCAGGCGAGAAAACUUUGCAAUGUGCGAAAGCACGACAAGGUUAAUCCGAGUGGUUUCUGCUAAAGGAACCUUUUGUCGGUCCUAGAAACACCGAUGAAUAAGGGGUGGGCAAGUUCUGGUGUCAGCCGCCGCGGUAAAACCAGCACCUCAAGUGGUCAGGAUGAUUAUUGGGCCUAAAGCAUCCGUAGCCGGCUCUAUAAGUUUUCGGUUAAAUCUGUACGCUCAACGUACAGGCCGCCGGGAAUACUGCAGAGCUAGGGAGUGGGAGAGGUAGACGGUACUCGGUAGGAAGGGGUAAAAUCCUUUGAUCUAUCGAUGACCACCUGUGGCGAAGGCGGUCUACCAGAACACGUCCGACGGUGAGGGAUGAAAGCUGGGGGAGCAAACCGGAUUAGAUACCCGGGUAGUCCCAGCUGUAAACUAUGCAAACUCAGUGAUGCAUUGGCUUGUGGCCAAUGCAGUGCUGCAGGGAAGCCGUUAAGUUUGCCGCCUGGGAAGUACGUACGCAAGUAUGAAACUUAAAGGAAUUGGCGGGGGAGCACCACAAGGGGUGAAGCCUGCGGUUCAAUUGGAGUCAACGCCGGGA